GGGGAAUAUUGCACAAUGGGGGAAACCCUGAUGCAGCAACGCCGCGUGAGUGAUGAAGGCCUUCGGGUUGUAAAGCUCUGUCUUCAGGGACGAUAAUGACGGUACCUAAGGAGGAAGCCACGGCUAACUACGUGCCAGCAGCCGCGGUAAUACGUAGGUGGCAAGCGUUGUCCGGAUUUACUGGGCGCAAAGGGCGCGUAGGCGGUCUAUUAAGUCUGAUGUGAAAGGUACCGGCUCAACCGGGGAAGGGCAUUGGAAACUGGUAGACUUGAGUAUUGGAGAGGCAAGUGGAAUUCCCGGUGUAGCGGUGGAAUGCGUAGAUAUCGGGAGGAACACCAGUGGCGAAGGCGGCCUACUGGGCACCAACUGACGCUGAGGCUCGAAAGUAUGGGUAGCAAAC
RNAcentral lists this ribosomal RNA (400 nucleotides) under uncultured bacterium. RNAcentral's name for it is "bacterial SSU rRNA". It matches the Rfam family "Bacterial small subunit ribosomal RNA", at positions 356 to 773 of the family's 1533-position model. The record is from RNAcentral.